This is a long non-coding RNA of Dreissena polymorpha, 440 nucleotides long. RefSeq lists it as uncharacterized. The transcript is spliced from 2 exons. The record is from RefSeq and is a predicted model, not a curated record. NCBI's taxonomy places the organism in Eukaryota, Metazoa, Mollusca, Bivalvia, Myida, Dreissenidae.
UCACGCAAACAGCUGGAUAGAAGGCACAUCAUUUAUUUUCUAGCGGGGCGGCGCUCGGCCGUUAUGGCCGCCCCAUGUAUCUUGUAGUUCAGAAUAUUGUUCGGACAUUGGAAAGCGUUUGUGUCAGAGUUUAAAUCAACAGAAAUAAAUCACUAUGAAAACAGAAAUGGGCGUUUAUGCUAUUGUGUUCUCCAAGAACUACGUCAUAUAAUGGAAUCAGUAACUGUCUGCUGGGCAUUUGCGGCGAUGGUUCGCGCGUGAAACAUUCCCGUCAUUGUGACCAUUCUGAAGUACCGGAAACCAUCAAAACUCUACUUCCUGUUGCUGAAUAUGGUCGUAGCUGGUAUGGAACAAAUCGUUCAAACAUAUUUACAGACUUAUGUUUAAGUCAAAAACGGCUUUUGAUUUUCACUUAAUUCUGAAAAAGACACAUAUGCGUA